GAAGAUGAUAAAAUAGCUAGGAUGAUAGGACGUGACGACCCCAACAGCAACCCGUGGAUUCUGGGCCAACAAUUCUUCUUCUUCUUCUUCUUCCUUCUUUUUCAGUCUUCAGCCUUCUCAGCAAGCAAUGCCAUUUCCUUUCAUUCUGUUGCACCCUCCCAGUUCCCACAUUGUCAUUUGACCCAUCCCCAUUUUCUUACCACUUCUCCAUCCUCCAUCUCUCUUUUCUAGUCUAAGACGUGUCGCUGCAGAUUCGGAUCUAUCCCCUUACUACCUAGGCAAUGCCAAGUUUAAGCUUUACCUUACACACUCUGCUUCCUCCCAACCACACAAAAACAAGUAAAACAGAGGAAAUGAAAGCAGAAUAGUACUUCCCCUGUUCAAUUAUAUUGCCUGCAUUGAAACAUAUAUUUGCACUUGUGCCAUGUCUAUAUUAAUUAUGACCAUUGGAACUUGCUGUGAAAAUCAGUUCGUUUUACCUUUUAACAACUUGGCCUCCUAAGGGUUUCAUUUCAUAUUUUCAUUGAAGACAAUUAUUUUCUGGUUAUAUGGGUAGUGAACACCUUGGGUUUCUGGUUAGAAGAGUUUGUUUGUGGUCCAACGAAUUGAUAUAUAAUUGAUAACGUGGAAUUGACUUUACAUUAUAGUAGCUAAUUUUGGGAUCCUCUGUAUGUAUGAAUAGUCGGCGACCCCAGAGAGAGAUGUUGGUUCUUUUUUAUGAAAUUUGCAAGCAAAGCAUGUACAUAGACAGAUUGAUUGGACGCAAUGAAUUGCCAAUCCGCGUACAUUCCGGGUGGAGAUUUGGACUAAAGCUAAGGGGCCAAAGAAACAGAGGGGCCGCCGGGCCGGGAAAUCGGAGGGACCUGGACAGGCGCACGUGUGCAGAGAUAUAUUUUACUGGUGAAACAUUGAAACACCUACACCGUUGUCUUAUUUUUCUGCACCGUUUUGAAUUUCAUGAAACAGAGAGUUUAAUUUGCAAUAUAUGGUAAGUAAGUUGGUCCUUAUUAGCUUGUUGAUGAGAUGGAGAAUCUGCAUGCAUGGGCAAAUUAAUCUAUCUAGCUACUUAAAUUGUACUAUAUAGUAUAUAGGUAAGGGUACGUAGGUCUGAAUUGAACGUAUGUGGACUGUACGUGGUGGUUGGGGUUGGGGAUGAUGACUGAUGGAUGUAUCAUGUGACGUGAGUCCAAUUCUGUUGCUCUAUUUAUAUCAUUAAUUUUGAAGUUAAUGAAACAAAAUCGGAUUUACAACAA
RNAcentral lists this long non-coding RNA (1253 nucleotides) under Linum usitatissimum (flax). RNAcentral describes it as "long non-coding RNA (LUSI_LNC008318)". The record is from RNAcentral. Lineage: Eukaryota; Viridiplantae; Streptophyta; Magnoliopsida; Malpighiales; Linaceae.